UCCAAGGGGUAAAUAAGGGAUUGUGCAGUAGCACCAGCCAAAGAAGCAGAAGCAAAUUGCUCAAAAGUUUUUAAAGUGGCUCCUCCAGAAGAAAGAAACUUCUUAUACUUUAUUAAUAAGAGUUCAAAGGAGAUGGAGAGGACAUGAAGUCAACAAUGUACUGGAAGAACCAACUUUGAAAAGAAGAAAUACCUCAUUCCUUGGGACUAUGGAAAUGAAGUGAUCAGGAAUGUAAAUAAAGGAGAGCCAGAAACCCAAAGGAACUUCUAUUUACUCGUUGACAUACAAGGCAUGUACAGCUACUGGAAGAUGGGAGCAAGGAAUGACAGGGGCUGUGGUUGGGUUAAGUCAGUGUUUCUCAAACUCGACACUAUUGAUAUUCGGGACCAGAUCAUCUUUUGUUGUCCUGUGCAUUAUAGGAUAUUUAGCAACAUCCCUGGACUUCAUUCA
Long non-coding RNA from Neofelis nebulosa (Clouded leopard), 450 nucleotides. RefSeq lists it as uncharacterized. The transcript has 3 exons. Lineage: Eukaryota; Metazoa; Chordata; Mammalia; Carnivora; Felidae. The record is from RefSeq and is a predicted model, not a curated record.